UACGGAGGGUGCUAGCGUUGUUCGGAAUUACUGGGCGUAAAGCGCACGUAGGCGGACUGGAAAGUCAGGGGUGAAAUCCCGGGGCUCAACCCCGGAACUGCCUUUGAAACUCCCGGUCUUGAGGUCGAGAGAGGUGAGUGGAAUUCCGAGUGUAGAGGUGAAAUUCGUAGAUAUUCGGAGGAACACCAGUGGCGAAGGCGGCUCACUGGCUCUAUACUGACGCUGAGGUGCGAAAGCGUGGGGAGCAAACAGG
RNAcentral lists this ribosomal RNA (253 nucleotides) under uncultured bacterium. RNAcentral's name for it is "partial 16S ribosomal RNA". It matches the Rfam family "Bacterial small subunit ribosomal RNA", at positions 524 to 776 of the family's 1533-position model. The record is from RNAcentral.